RNAcentral lists this ribosomal RNA (239 nucleotides) under uncultured Actinomycetes bacterium. RNAcentral describes it as "uncultured actinobacterium partial 16S ribosomal RNA". It matches the Rfam family "Bacterial small subunit ribosomal RNA", at positions 94 to 334 of the family's 1533-position model. The record is from RNAcentral. Lineage: Bacteria; Bacillati; Actinomycetota; Actinomycetes.
AGUGGCGAACGGGUGAGUAACACGUGAGCAACGUGCCCAAGACUCUGGAAUAACUUCGGGAAACCGGAGCUAAUACUGGAUACGAGACGUAAAGGCAUCUUUAGCGUCUGGAAAGAAUUUCGGUCUUGGAUCGGCUCACGGCCUAUCAGCUUGUUGGUGAGGUAAUGGCUCACCAAGGCGACGACGGGUAGCCGGCCUGAGAGGGUGACCGGCCACACUGGGACUGAGACACGGCCCAG